This 145-nucleotide microRNA precursor is filed under the name Physcomitrium patens. RNAcentral describes it as "Physcomitrella patens miR1060 stem-loop (ppt-MIR1060)". Lineage: Eukaryota; Viridiplantae; Streptophyta; Bryopsida; Funariales; Funariaceae. The record is from miRBase by way of RNAcentral.
AGGAAGAUAUUCUGUACCAUUUUCGAACCUUUGUCAUAGGAUUACACACGCAGAAUUUUUUCUUGAUAAGACCAAUCACCUAACGUGAAAUCGCUGCGUGUGUAUUCCUAGACAAAAGGUUUGAAUGGAAGAUGCUCACACUAUC